UAAAGUUAAUUAUUUUAGGUGAAUUUUUUAUAUUAAAAUUAUUUAUAAUUAAAUUUUGGAUUUUAUUAAUUUAGUUUUGAAAAAAUUAGUAGGUUAUUUGAGAGUUUAUUAGUAUUGAUAAAGAAUUUAAAUUUAAAUUUUUAAAAGAAAAUUUUAUUUAUUGUAUCUUGGGUUUCAGAGUUAAUUAAAUUUAAAAAUUAUUUUAUUUUUCUUGAAAAAUAAAGAUUUAAUUAAAUAUUUAAUUUUAUGUUUAAAUAUUUUAAUAUAGGAAAGAUUUAUUAAUAUUUAAUUGGAAAUUAUAAGUUAAAAUCGUUUUAUUUUAUAUCUAGUUUUUUUAGAAAUAAAUUUAAUUUAAUUUUUUAAAAAAUUUAUAUUAAUUUAAUUAUUUAAAAUGAUUUUAAUAAAUGAAAUAACUUUUGGGAUAAGCUUGAAGUUAAAAUAUUUAUAUUCCAUGUUUUGUUUUAUAAUUAAUUUAAUAUAAUUUAUAUUUUUAUUUAAUUUUAAUUUAUUAAAUUGAAGUUUAAUUAAUAAUAUGUAUUUAGAUUUAUUUUAAUUUUUAAUAUAUUAAUAAAUUUAUAAAGAUUUUGAAUUUAAUAUUAGCUUUUAAUUAAUUAUGAUUGAAUUAUUAUAGAAUAAGAAAAAAUAAAUUUAUAAUUAUAUUAAUUUUAAUUUAUUAAUAAUAUUUUUAUGAAUUCGGCAAAUUUAAAGUUCAACUGUUUAUCAAAAACAUUUUUUUUUGUUUUAUAUAAAAAAUAUAAUCUGCCCACUGAAUAUUUAUAUUUUAAAGGGCUGCAGUAUUUUAACUGUACUAAGGUAGCAUAAUAAAUUGUUUUUUAAUUAAGAACUGGUAUGAAUGAUUGAAUGAAACUUUUACUUUUUUAAUUUAUUAAUUUAAAUAAAAUUUUAUAUUUUAGUAAAAAAGCUAAGAUUAAUUUAAAAGACGAGAAGACCCUAUAGAUUUUUAUAUUUAGAUUAAUUUAAAUAAAUAUAAUUUAAUAUUUUAUUGGGGUGAUAAAAAAAUUUAUUUAACUUUUUUUAUUUUAAUCAAUUAAUUUUAUUUGAUUUUAAGAUUUAUAAUAAAUUUAAUUUUUAUUUAAUUAAAUUACCUUAGGGAUAACAGCAUAAUAUUAAUUUAAAGAUGUUAUUUAAAUUAGUGAUUUUGACCUCGAUGUUGGAUUAAAAUAAAAUUUUUAUGAAGUUAUAAUUAAUUUUAGUCUGUUCGACUAUUAAAAUUUUACAUGAUCUGAGUUCAGACCGGUGUGAGCCAGGUUGGUUUCUAUCUUUUUAUAAUUAUUGAAUUGAUUUAUAGUACGAAAGGAAUUAAAUUGUUAAUUUAAAUUAUUAAUAUUUAGUGGAGUAGAA
RNAcentral lists this ribosomal RNA (1362 nucleotides) under Plectrocnemia tsukuiensis. RNAcentral's name for it is "16S ribosomal RNA". Lineage: Eukaryota; Metazoa; Arthropoda; Insecta; Trichoptera; Polycentropodidae. The record is from RNAcentral.